GUGUUUACUUUGGCAGCCCAUUUUCUAAAAUUGGAAUGACACAAAACAGGCUAGCAUGGCCCCUGCACAAAAAUGACAGGAAAUUUUGUGAAGCAGCCUAUAUUUUU
Small nuclear RNA from Sarcophilus harrisii (Tasmanian devil), 107 nucleotides. NCBI's taxonomy places the organism in Eukaryota, Metazoa, Chordata, Mammalia, Dasyuromorphia, Dasyuridae. The record is from Ensembl.